ACGCUCGACACCUACUGGAGGCAGCAGUGGGGAAUAUUGGGCAAUGGGCGCAAGCCUGACCCAGCAACGCCGCGUGAAGGAAGAAGGCUUUCGGGUUGUAAACUUCUUUGUCAGGGAACAGUAGAAGAGGGUACCUGACGAAUAAGCCACGGCUAACUACGUGUCAGCAGCCGCGGUAAUCUGAGCGGGCUGGCAAGGC
RNAcentral lists this ribosomal RNA (199 nucleotides) under uncultured bacterium. Its description in RNAcentral is "partial 16S ribosomal RNA". It matches the Rfam family "Bacterial small subunit ribosomal RNA", at positions 328 to 539 of the family's 1533-position model. The record is from RNAcentral.